GGAUCAGGUAGGACUACCCGCUGAACUUAAGCAUAUCAAUAAGCGGAGGAAAAGAAACCAACAGGGAUUGCCCCAGUAACGGCGAGUGAAGCGGCAACAGCUCAGAUUUGGAAUCUGGCCCCCAGGGCCCGAGUUGUAAUCUGGAGAGGAUGCUUCUGGCGCGGCGCCUUCCGAGUUCCCUGGAACGGGACGCCGGAGAGGGUGAGAGCCCCGUACGGUUGGACGCCUAGCCUUUGUGAAGCUCCUUCGACGAGUCGAGUAGUUUGGGAAUGCUGCUCAAAAUGGGAGGUAAAUUUCUUCUAAAGCUAAAUACCGGCCAGAGACCGAUAGCGCACAAGUAGAGUGAUCGAAAGAUGAAAAGCACUUUGAAAAGAGGGUCAAACAGUACGUGAAAUUGUUGAAAGGGAAGCGCCCGUGGCCAGACUUGUGCCCCGCGGACCACCCGGCGCCCUCAGCGCCGGUGCACUCCGCGGGGCGCAGGCCAGCAUCGGUUUUCCUAGGGGGAUAAAGGCGGCGGGAACGUGGCUCCCUCGGGAGUGUUAUAGCCCGCCGCGCCAUGCCCCUGGGGGGACCGAGGACCGCGCUUCGGCAAGGAUGCUGGCGUAAUGGCCACCGGCGACCCGUCUUGAAACACGGACCAAGGAGUCAAGCAUUGGGGCGAGUGUCUGGGUGUUAAACCCGCACGCGAAAUGAAAGUAAACGCAGGUGAGAGCUUCGGCGCAUCAUCGACCGAUCCUGAUGUUCUCGGAUGGAUUUGAGUAAGAGCCUUACCGCUUGGACCCGAAAGAUGGUGAACUAUGCCUGUAUAGGGUGAAGCCAGAGGAAACUCUGGUGGAGGCUCGCAGCGGUUCUGACGUGCAAAUCGAUCGUCAAAUAUGGGCAUGGGGGCGAAAGACUAAUCGAACCAUCUAGUAGCUGGGUUACCGCCGAA
This 931-nucleotide ribosomal RNA is filed under the name Grosmannia robusta. Its description in RNAcentral is "LSU rRNA". It matches the Rfam family "Eukaryotic large subunit ribosomal RNA", at positions 1 to 965 of the family's 3401-position model. Lineage: Eukaryota; Fungi; Ascomycota; Sordariomycetes; Ophiostomatales; Ophiostomataceae. The record is from RNAcentral.